RNAcentral lists this ribosomal RNA (415 nucleotides) under uncultured bacterium. RNAcentral describes it as "partial 16S ribosomal RNA". It matches the Rfam family "Bacterial small subunit ribosomal RNA", at positions 28 to 412 of the family's 1533-position model. The record is from RNAcentral.
GACGAACGCUGGCGGCGUGCUUAACACAUGCAAGUCGAGCGGUAAGGCCCUUUCGGGGGUACGACGAGCGGCGAACGGGUGAGUAACACGUGGGUGACCUGCCCUUAGCUCUGGGAUAAGCCUGGGAAACUGGGUCUAAUACCGGAUAUGACUCCAUGACGCAUGUUGUGGGGUGGAAAGCCUUGUGCGGCUAGGGAUGGGCCCGCGGCCUAUCAGCUUGUUGGUGGGGUGAUGGCCUACCAAGGCGACGACGGGUAGCCGGCCUGAGAGGGCGACCGGCCACACUGGGACNGAGUUUUUUUUUUUUUUUUUUUUUUUUUUUUUUUACACGGCCCAGACUCCUACGGGAGGCAGCAGUGGGGAAUCUUGCGCAAUGGGCGAAAGCCUGACGCAGCGACGCCGCGUGAGGGAUGAC